This is a long non-coding RNA of Gasterosteus aculeatus aculeatus (three-spined stickleback), 11258 nucleotides long. The record is from Ensembl. Lineage: Eukaryota; Metazoa; Chordata; Actinopteri; Perciformes; Gasterosteidae.
GAGGGGAGGCGCUUGCUGCAGAUUACUGUCUACAUUUUUAAUUUUCUCAUGUUUUUGGUAUGAAGCGCCGUCUCUUGAAUAUGUUAUUAUCUGGCAUCCACCUGCUUUUACCAAUGUAGUUUAUUGAUUGUUGAAACCGCAUUUGAGAAAUCUCCCUACAUUUACAGAGAAAGGCCACGCCAUGGUGCGACCUCCAGCACAGAUUGUUAUGUGCAAUAUGCAUGGAAAUGUAUACCCUCAGAAAGGUCUUUGGCCUGGUUGUUAGAAAAGGCAGGUUAAGGCAAGUUAAAAGAUAGCGUAGAAAAUAAAAUAUUGGAAAAUGCGUAUAUAGGGUUACCACUCAGACAUAAGCGGGUAAUUAUCCUAUAUAGACCAACCAUCUAGAGUUUGUAGAGGAGCCCAAUGUACUGUAAGAGGGGGCAGUCGCAGCUUAACAUCAUGGUUAUAAACAAGAAUGAGGAAGGGAAGACGGACCAUGAAUCAUCUUAAACCAUAAACCGAUUAAUGUCACGACUCCAGACGAAUCAGUUGACACGACAUCGGCGAAGAACAUCAAACACUGACAUCAGAUCUCAUAUCUUUAUCUGCCUGCAGAUUACAGUUUGUGUCUUUUAGUUGUCUGCCUUCUACCACUGAUGAAUGAUGAAGCACUUCAGGGCGUGGGAGUCUGCAGGCGGGGAAAGACUGAACUCUUUACUGGAAAAGGGCAUAAACAAGGCGCUCUAAUGGCAAAACCUCGCUGGUGUUGAUGCAUGAAAGUGAGAAGUGAGAAGAGACACAGAAGAGGAGAGCGGAGUGUUUAUUUUAGCAAUAAGCUCUUGUCUUCACGGUGUCUGCUUCCAGCUGGGUCCUUCUGUUCCUCUGCAUGUACACAGUGCAUUUAAUCAAAAAAUGUACCUUGUUUUGGAGUUGCCAAAAUGCCUUCUGGGACUGAGCGGUGUUGGCUUCGUGGAGAUGGACUGAUUGCUUAUCCAAACCACGGGCCAAGUGCAAUCAAUGUGUUUACUUUACUGCUCAUCUUGGAUGAUGACCUCAGACCGAGACAGAGUCCAACAGAAAAAGAUUUUAGUGACAUUAAGUCCUUCAUUCUCACACUCUUGUCACAGCGAAGGGAAAGCACGCUAAUGGCACAUGAUUAAAAACUUUGCUCGGCCAUCACAACAAUUUGAUACUUGUGAAAUUGACAGUGUAACAUAUUGUUGUACUAUUUCACAGGACUUUCUUUUUCACUUGACCCGUCAUCAGGGCCGGUAUUUACCCCGCUUUGUUUUCUCACUGUAGACACGUUUAAUUGACCACAUGUUGUCCAUUCAUCUUGUUGAAAAAAGUAAUAGUGCUCAUGACAUCCUUUGAGUAAUGGCAUAUGUAAAUUCAAGUGAAGUUCAGUUUGAAUACUACGUGCCAAGGAUACGAACCGGUUUACUCGUAGCAUUCGUCACUGACUAUUUAUCAGACUGCUCUGUACUUUCGUGGUGCUUUGGACAACCAAACUGAUUUGCAUGUGUAAAAUUGAAUUUCAGUUAGACUUUAAGCUAGGUAGGUGCGAUGCACUUAAAAGGUAUGAUUACGAUAUUGAUUAAUAUGCACCAGUCUUCGGGCGGGUAAUUCUUUAUCAAUGACUUGUGCAAGAUUAGGUUGGAAAGAUUGAUCAGCUGAAGGAAAAAACACCUUGGUUACUUUCCCUCGGGGCACAUUGUCCUCCACAGCUUCCAUCCAUUUAACUUUUAUGACCACAGUGAUGUAAAUGUGCAGUACAGAUACAUAUACAUAUAAUUAAUAAAGUCUGACAUGGAUAGCAGAACCGGCACUCCAUGGCCGCUUGGAACAAACUGUGUCAGUUUUUGACAACAAUGGAUGUUGUGCUCUUGGCAUGUUCGUUUGCAUUUUGUCUGUGAAAUUAUUAAGCAAAUGUGUGGUUCAGCAAUUAGUCAAGAAGAGGUAAAAAAAAUCCCCUUUUCAAAUUUUAAUAAAUCAAUUAAAAAACGGCUAUUAAAGUUGUAACUUUCUUCAAACAACUGCAAUGACUGCAUCGGUGAGCACACUGGUUCCCGAUAGGAAAAGUCACAGGUUGGAGAUGUAGAUGUUGUAACAGGUAGACAAUGUGGAGAAAAACACUGUUCAAUGCAAACUCAAGUGACUGUGCGCCUCGGCUGAAAAAGUGAAAGGGAGACGGCACUUGGGGGAGUUUAUUUCAGGAGCGUGGCUCCAAGGACAUUGAUUUUGUCUGCCUCCAAACUUUGUGUGGCAAUGCUAAGAGGGAAGAUCUGUAUUUUACUAUUAUAAAGCCAACAACGGCACCAAGGGAAUUUCACCCCAGGAAUUAACAAGGACCACCUGUCUAUGGUCAAUGACAGGACACAGGUUCGGACAACACAGGCACUGGACGUGAUUCAAUGAACAAAAUUAUACAAGUUUAUUUUAAUAUCAAAUUAUUUUCUUAAAAUACAGUCACAAUCACAAAGUUCAAUAAAAUCUCUCAGGUUCUCGGUCAUUCAGGUUACCAUGGAAUGCAAUGUACAGGAGGGGGCUGAGACUGAGGGCUCACUGGCAGAGAUGACUUGCUGAGGGGGAAAGGAGGCUAAUGUUCCACCACACGUGAAAAACAAACCACACACCAACUAUUGACACCGAGGUGCACUGCAACAAAAAAAUGAAGGGAACCACCACCACCGGGAUCACCCUGUCACUCCUACCAGUGGCACCAACAGUCUCAGCCUCCUCCUGUAUGUUGCAUCCCAUGGUAACCUGAAUGACUGAGUCCCUGAGAAAGAUUUUAUUGAACUCUGUGACCGUGCCUGUAUUUUAGAAAAUAAUUUGAUAUUAAAAUAAACUUGUAUAAUUUUCUUUAUAGAAUCACGUCGAGUACCUGUGUUGUCCGAACCUGUGUUGUCCGAACCUGUGUCCUGUCAUUGACCAUAGACUGGUGGUCCCUGUUAAUUCCUGGGGUGAAAUUCCCUGAGGUGGCGUUGUUGGCUUUUAACCGUAAAAUACAGAUCUUCCCUCUUAGCAUUGCCACAUUUGUUUUGCGACGUGGACCCCCCAGGUGUUCCUCACAAACAUGUGUCUCUCUCUCUCUCUUACCUUUUUCACAAGAUGAAAGAAUGGGUCAUUUAUGGUUUACAAAGUAUGAACACGAUAUUAUUUUGGCUUGGUAUUCCAAGCAACUCCAUUUAAAGGGGAACUAUGACUAUGUGGUUGAAUGUUGACUCUAGGCUUAAGUACAAUGACACAGAGCAGGGAACCCAAACAUCUGGAGAGUCGAACCAAAGCGUUUUUAUGACCAAACAGAAGAAUGUUCAUGACCUGCCAAGUGCAGACCUGGUAGAACAUCAGCAGGAAACUGCUCAUGUCUGUGGGUCACAGCUGCUUUUAGUUUGCUUUGACAAAGUCAUGAUGACCUGUAAAGAUAUUUCCACAAUUUAUUAAAUUCAGUUUAAUGUCUACUUUUAAUUCUAUUGGCUGAAAAACAAUUAUUUUUUAAAUCCCCAUUAACCACAUCCAACCUGGCAACCAAAAACAAAGCUAAAGUGACCUUCUGGCAUCUUACAAAAUAAUUGCGCAACGUUGACAUUUGUUGUCCUAUUUUGUUUUACAAACGUGGACAGUCGAGUCCAUGGUGAUGGAGGCUGAUCUGGAGUCUGGUGCUUUGGCACCUGAUGCCUCUGCACCUCUUGCCAGACGGCAGCAGGGCGAACAGGCUGUGGCGAGCAUUGUCCUUUAAUCACAGCUCUCUACCAGCAGUGUUCUGGGCGGUUCUAAUCACCCAGUGUAGAGGCCUCCAUGACUUGGCCAUGCACAUGCCAUCUCGCAUUGUACCCUCUCCAGUCAGGAUGCUUUCGAUAAGGUCGCUUUCUUCAGCUAAGAGUAGAAACCAGAAAAUGAGCUUCUUUUUUUCAAGAGCUAGUAGAGACCGAGAUACCAACAUAUAAAGGCAAGAGAGUACAACCGAUAGGGCAGGAGAAGGUGGACCUUCCAACAUCUUUCCAUUCUCAGAAGCUUGUUUCCUCUGCAUACUACAGUCAAAGACAACGACUUGAAUGCUUCAACAUCUGGCUUCUAAACAUCAAGAUGUAAUCUGUGUAUCAAAGGAAACCACAUAGAAUAAAGAGCACUCCCUCAUGGUGCUCAGGCUCAGCACUCAAGCUGUACUACGGCAGCAUUGCAUGUCAGAGAGGCCCCAACGGCCUCAAAGGGCACACGUCGGAGGACUUCAAUACUCAAAAAGACAAUGUUUUCUUAUGCUGCAUUUAAAAAAGGUUGCUACAUUCAAAAAUGAAUAUCACUUGUAAUUUAAAAUUAAAAAAACAAUGAAUUCAAGGCUUUCUGAAGUCUAUUGGCGUAGACUGGUUUUAGCCAGCCAGGGGUUGUUAAUGUUUUCUCUCUGUUCCUCAAGCACAGAGCAGUGUCAAGAUAAUGGCAACAGAUUAAAUGGAUUCAUCUCUACUUCAAAGCCAGGGCUCUACACAGCCACUGAAGUGCUGUUGGCAGCUGUCGAAAAAAAGCCUUGCUUGAAUUCGUUGUCAGAAGUCGAAAACGCAGGCGUGGAUGCGAGACCAGAGGCCGGGUGUGUGAGGGAGGGACAAACACUGAAGAAGUUACACUUUGUCCUGUUUUAUGGAACUUCAGAUCAAGGUAAAUUAAGAAAAGCGUGUGUUCAAAGUAGCAGAGGAUCCAGAUGAGUGUCAGCAGUUAAAGAUUUAUUGGUCUGCCACAGAGUUAGAUAGCGCAAAGCUAAAAGCACUAGUAGGGAGUAACAGGCUGACGGGUGACAUUUACUGACAGUAGGUGAUCCGGACAGCAAAGGAUCAAUAGCAGAUUAGAUAUUUAUCCUUCAGAAAUGUUUUUUUUCAGAGCAGCAUUUUUAGCACUUUAAAUCCUAUUUCCUACUAUCCUAAUCCUAUAUUAAGAAAAGCUUGCAUGGAUAAAAUAGAACUUAACAGCAGGUAACACACUAUUUUCUACUGCAAGAGCCAUUGUGAUUAGUGCCUUUCUAGCAGCCUGGUGCGUUGCUUCAUGCAAAAACAUUAGAAAUCAAAAAAACACCUCAGUGAAAACUUAUUGUCAAUUAAUAGUUUAUUUCAUUAGAUAUAUAAUAUGGAUGAACUGAAAAGAAUAGAGAAAAAAAGAACCUUCCAGAUACAUUCCUCUUUGUCAGUGUCCUUGUCUCAGAUAAAGUGUCUUCAGCCGUUUCUCUUGGUUACUUAGCAUAUAUCUCUGGUCUAAAGCCAUUAAUCAGGAGCUUUCCAGGGGAGCUGCUGCCCUUUUUGGUCACACCGGGACAGAAACAGCGGCCAAAGACCAUAGCCAAUAUUAGUAAUGCACACUCAGUGUGAGUGUGUUUAAAUGCACCUGGUUGGUUUCUGUGUGCAACUCACGUAGUAUGUCAUCAGGUUAGGUGCACAAUGACUAGAACGAGCAACAAAGUCCACUUCGGGUGGGAAAACAAACAGCAGGAGGAUGGUGCUCAUGUUCAACGAGAAGGUGUUCAUUCACACUUUACUAUAUAACAGAGUCAGCUAAGGAGGGGUGGUUGUUUGUGAAAGUGUUGUUACGCUACGUUGUUCUGACACAAACCAUACCAACCAUGUUUUUCAAACCUUAACUGACUGGGUUUUGAGGUCAUAUGAUAAUCAAGAUGUUUGUGAGUUGAUGUUGAUAAUCUUGUGGUGCCAAAGAUGAUGUUUAUCUUCCAACUCUUCCUGCUCCGAAGAUGAAGGCUUGGCACACAACCUGUAUGUGUGUCAACCCUAAAUAUACUGUUUUGAUGAUUUUACACCGGGGUCAAGUAACAAUAUGCAACAACUUUUUCACAAAUAAAAAAUAAUACAUUUUAAAAAUGACAACAUCCACUAGAUAUCAGGAGCGUACAACAACAGCUGCAGUUGAUGGGGCACACCUGAAGGCCCUAUGAUCUCUUUUUUGGUUUGCAUAACUCAAAAGGGAGGUUGAAAGUCAUUGAAGGUUUGCGGUUCCUCAGUAGUCUCUGUGAGGAUUUGUGUAGUUUGUUGUUUUCGUCUCUCCUCCUCCCCUUCUGUUUCCCUUUGCAGUUGCUGUGAGCGCUAGGGGGCGUGGCUGGUUCCCUGCAGCGGUUGAGGCGCACCUGCGCCCAAUACUAAUCAUCCCCACUAUAAGGAUCUGGUCCGCUCAACAAGCCGGCGCCGGAUUAUUCCACCCAUAGACCUCGAACCUCCGUGUGCCUCUUCGCUCGGCUGUCAUCCUCGCCUCUCCGCGGAUCCUCCUGCCCGCCUGCACCUGCCCCCAGUCAAUAAACUGUAGCUUUUUUUCGUACCUGCUCCUCCGUGUCUGUUUUGGGGUCCGACCACCACCACUAACCCUAACAGUCUCCGACUCAGAAAAUAGAAUUGGAAAAUGCAGGUGCAGGCUUCCGGUAACCUACGAGUGCAGUAUUUCAAGUGGUUUUACCUUGUUUUGCUCGAAUUCCACUUCAGAAACUAAAAAGGUGCCACCUUGUGAAACCUAAUCAUGACACCUACUUUUGGUUUGGAAACAUCAUCACAACGUUCAUAGUGUAGAAACGCAACUGGAUUGAAGAAAAGAUGAUUGCAUUUUAUUUCACCCACUUAAAACUUGCCAGUUACUGAAACUGAAAUGCCAGUAAACCCCAUUUUAAACUCCUUUAUAAGUCUGUAAUUAGAACAUAUGAACAACUGAAUAGGAGAGAAAAGACUGAAAAUAUGAAAAUUAAAAAAAAAGUUAUAAUUUGAAAUGUCACUGCUCCUUUCUCUUUCCAUCUUUUAAUACUCUCAUCCAAAGGCGGCUUAAAAUACGUCCUGGGUAGGAGGGGGCCGUGGGAAGCGAGUGACAGCAGCUGUAAAGAUGAAUGAUGUAUGUAGCAGAUGGAGUGUUUCACGACCUGUACCAGCACUCCAUUUAAGUGUGAGUGUAAAAUUGAUGGCCAACAAUAAUUGACCUCCAGCCACUCAGCACCAAAGGCUGUUCUUCCACUGAGGAAAGAAGAGAGUUCCUUUUCUCCAAUUGACACGGGGGGAGCGUUUGAUUUAUGCAACUCUUACAAAGGUUGGCGUAUCAACAUCACAGGCAAAUUCUGGGGGACUUUUUUGUGAGGAGAUAAGAAGAUGGAAGAGGAACAGAUGACAAAGGGCAGGGAUGAUGAGGGCGGAGGAGACGGGUUAGGAAGGGAGAAUAAAUGGGGGAGAUGAUUAGAGGUAACUUAAGGGGAGGCCGCACACAGUGACAGCGGUAAGAAGAAUCUAGGAGUAACAGGGAAAAAAAUGGGAAAAGGGAAAGGAACUGAGAAGAAAAACAACUGUGAGAAGCAAUAGAACAUUAGGAGAAGAAUGGAGAAAUCACUGGAUUUCACUGGAUUUUUGGAUCUGAGUAAAUAAAAGGGCUAUAGACAAGCUACACAAGCAGCAUGCAGACACCAUCAGCCUUGUGGUAAUUUGUCUGCAAACUUAUGCACGUAAGAGGUACAGAAAAGCUUCAGCACUUCGUAUCAAUUUAAGUGCUCCAAUGAGUCAGAGCUCGGGUUGAAGUAGGCAUUGUAGAGGUCGGAGGAUGAACACUCAUUUUGCACUUAAAUCUUCCCAAGAGACCAAAGAGUAUUUUGUUCGAUUGAAUCUGCAGCGCUGUGUUGCAGUGGGUACGUCCCAGCUGUGUUGUGCAUCGUUCUUACACAUUUCAUAGUGCGCGACAAUUGGAAAUCGGCUCAUGAGGGUUUUUUGUUUCUACGCAACAGCGGUGUUUGUUCGGUAAUAAUGGCCCUGGGGCAGGCUCGUCAAGGUCUAAGCGGUUAAACCGAUAAAGCAAAUAGCAACGUCUUCUUGGAUCUUUUCAAAACGGCAAGGCCGAUAAAAAAUGUUGAUACAAAAAAAUGACACUAAAUAUAUUACUAUAUUACUCUGCAGCUGCGCAUGGCUGUGAGUCCCAGGAAACUGCCUGUGGUUAGCUCACGUGUAAUAACAGCACGAGCGUCUAGUGUUCUUUAAUUGGACUGCCAGAAUGCGUGGUACAGCGCAAGUGACCGGCUCGUUAAUCAACGACACGCCAACAUGCUGAGCUACAACAAAAAUGUAAUGUUGACUUAAAAGAGAAAGGUGUUUGUGUUCUGCCCUCAUUGUUCUCAGUGGAGUGUGCUGGAAGUGAUGCAAUGUUGCUCCGCAGUGCUUUAUGUGAGUACAAUAAUAGGUUAUAUAAUUUAUAUUUAUAUAAUUUAAUUUGGCCUUGUGUGCUCUGAUUAAUUGGGAACGCAAUCAAGACAGUUGAGCUGUCAUUAUUUAGGCAUUUUUAAAGUUGUUUUGGAAGAGGAAGUAACUGCAUUUACUGGCAUUCCAGCUUUAAAAAAAGCACACUAUCUCCAUAAAUAUAUGCCGUGUCAUUGGUGUAACUCAUGUAGAUGUUAAGGAGGUUCUUGUUUUUAAUGGAUAAUAUUUGAAGUUGCAUUAAAUGUGGGAAACAUUUAGUCUGAAGUGACUAAUUGGGCAGUUUAAUGUGUUAGAAAAGAAAGGAUGCCAAAUCUUUUGAUGGAAAUAAAAGUUUCAGCCUACAGAGGGCUUAAUUAUAUAGACAUGCAAAAAAUCAAAGGGAAAAAAUGAUGUGUCCAUCUUGCCAAAGUUCAAUUUCUGCACUUGUGAAAUGCUUCUCAUUCUCCUGUGUGGACCACAUGUAUGCAUGUGUGCAUGCUUGACCACGGGUCGGCAGGCUCCUAAUGAGACGACGGAUUGUGUCUUCAAUGUCCUCUCAGAUCUGUCUAAGGGCAUCAGUGAACUCCUGUAAAGUCUGAGGAACAACCUGGCGCCAUCUGAUAACAAAACUGAAAUAAUGUCCCAGAGGUGUUCUAACAAGUUUAGGUCAGGUGAUCGUGAGGGACAUUCAACUAUAUCAAUGCCUUCAUCCUCCAGGUACUACCUGCAUACUCUUGCCACAUAAGGCCGGACAUCGUGCAUCAGCAGGAACCUAAGACCUACUGCACUAGUGUAUGGGUUGAAGGAUUGUGUAGACUGUAAAGGUGUUUCCGUCCCUCCAUGGAUACGCCUCACCACUCAGCCAGGCACGCUGAACCAUGGUGCAGGCAGCAGAGCGUUCUCCUUGCCUUCUCCAGACCCUUUGACGUCUAUCACAGGUGCUCAGGGUGAACCUUCUCUUAUCUGUGAAAGUCAUAGGGCACCAGGGGCGAACAUGCCAAUCCUGGUGUUCUAUAGAAAAUGCCAAUCAAGCGCCACAGUGCUGUGCACUGAGCACUGGGCAAUCUGCAGGACGUCGCACCCUGAGGCCGCCCUCAUGAAGUCGGCUUUUGAUUGUUUGGGCAGAGACAUUCACACCAGUGGCCUGCUGGAGGUCAUUUUGUAGGGCUCGGCCAGAGCUCAACCUGUUCUUUGCACAAAAGGGGGGUUGAGGACCUUCUAGAUCUCCUAGAAUUAACUGCCUGUCUCCUGAAAUGUCCUUGCAAUAGCACGCGUGGAUGUGCCGCCCUGGAGGAGAAUACCAAUAUAUGCAACUAUUGCUGGCUUAAGGUGAUAAUGACUCUAGCUGAAGCCAACGCUAGUGGAAAACCAGUCAAGAGAUUAAAAGGGAGAAACUUGAAAUUGGCCUCGACAGACAAAACCAGUCCUGAUUUGGCGUUUGUCUCAUUGUCCCCCAUCUAUUGCACCGGUUGUUAAUUCCAUCAACACUAAUGCAGCAGAAACUGAUUAACAACCACUUAUGGUACUUACCUGACCAGUAUCAGAAGAAUUCAAUUCAAGAAUUCAAUUGAAAGUCUGCAACUUCUGUCAGAACAACGGAUUUUGCGGGCCUUGCUAAGAAAAGAGACGCAAGACCGACGCUGUGUGCACGGAGGGGAGGGACUGUGUGUGUGUGUGUGUGUGAUGCGUGAGGUGGUAAUGCGCGGUGAUGCAUUGUCGUUAGUCGCGAGCGUGUGUGCCUGCUAAUCGCCCAAUAAUUGGAUGUGAUGGCGGGAACGUAGGUCGGGAUGAUGAAUUGCCGGCAGCAGCAGGUUGGAGACGGACGCCCCAAGUGCCAAGUUGCUGAGUGUGUUUGGGUUUUCCUUGCUGGUCUUACACACACAUACACACAAACGCGCAAAACUCCAUCCCACGCAUGACUUAAAGGCACACAUUGGCGUGGUUCAUACCCGCUUCGAUAUGAGUGCUACAGGAAAACUGCCACAUUCAAACAUAGCACAUACGAGAAUAUGUGAGAUUGAGGGGAAGAAGUGGAGCCUUAGGGGACAAACACACACACAUACAGUCACUUGGGAGAGUCAAAUGGGAGAGUCACAUGGGAGAGGCAUUGAAAGCGAGCUCAUGAGGUGCAGGCGGGUAGCUAUGCAGACCGCCGGGAGAAGCUCGCCUAAUCUACUCUCAGUGGGAAGUGGUAGUCACACUGGUUCAGUCACUAAGGAGGGGGGGGAAGGAUUCUCCAUUGUUCCUAUGAUGUUACAUGCACUUCAUUGGCAGCACCCCCCCACCCCCCCCCACCCCUCGGGUGUCGUCCCGCAGAGUGGAGCUCUAUAAAACUGAUGAGAACGACACUUCCACUUAACGCAGACAAUUUAUCCAACUGAAUCUUACAGAAACUUAUCAGGCUCUCUUUCCCCCAACUGGAAAAGGUUGGGGGAAAGAGAGGAGAAGAAUCUCCCCAAGGAAAAGUUAGGUCACUUAUACAUAGAAUUUGCCUCAGAGCUACUCGCUUAUGAGAGAAAACAAUUUAUCAGCGUGAACAGCACACAGUGCAAAUGGAACAUGGCUCACAUGCUACCAUUCACUUCGCUUCUCUUCUCUGUACUAAUAACAAACAAACAAAAUAAGAAGUCUACAGGUACUACAGCAUUGGAAACAUGAACAUUUAUGAUACAAACAUUUCAUUGAGGAAGGGUAGAGUAGAAGUGAACAAAGAUAACCACUGGAUUAAUCUAGGUUGGAGUUUAGUUUAGUUGAACUGCACUAUAACAACAGAUGUGAGAAGGAAGACAAACUACAGUGAGAUUAAUAAAACACUAUGAAACUUGAUAAAACCAACUGAUAUACAAUAACAAGAAAAUAUAACAUAUAGAAAAGUAAUGAGGUUCUUGGUCAGCCAACCCUACUAAAGUUUGUUAUGAAAACAAAUUAGAAUUAAGAUGUGUAACUGCAUUCAGCAACAGCUGUGCAGACAGAUAGCACUAACAGAUCACAUAGAGAAAUGAAAUGAGAGUGCAGUUUAUUAAACUCGGAUUAUAAGAAAAAACAGUGAGGUGACUUCUCUACAAAGCAAAUAGUUAAUUGCUUCUAUGAUGU